This 637-nucleotide small RNA is filed under the name uncultured fungus. Its description in RNAcentral is "eukaryotic LSU rRNA". The stretch from base 213 to 367 matches the Rfam family "5.8S ribosomal RNA". Lineage: Eukaryota; Fungi. The record is from RNAcentral.
GGAAGGAUCAUUACAGAAUUGUCAACGGGUUGUUGCUGGUCCUCGAACGGGGACAUGUGCACGCUCUGUUUACACAUCCACUCACACCUGUGCACCCUCCGUAGUUCUGUGGUCUGGGGGACCCCUGUCCUCCUGCCGUGGUUCUAUGUCUUUACACACACACUGUAAUAAAGUAUUAUGGAAUGCAUGCCGCGUCUAACGCAAUACAAUACAACUUUCAGCAACGGAUCUCUUGGCUCUCGCAUCGAUGAAGAACGCAGCGAAAUGCGAUAAGUAAUGUGAAUUGCAGAAUUCAGUGAAUCAUCGAAUCUUUGAACGCACCUUGCGCCCCUUGGCUAUUCCGAGGGGCAUGCCUGUUUGAGUAUCAUGAACACCUCAACUCUCACGGUUCGCCGUGAUGAGCUUGGACUCUGGGGGUUUUGCUGGCCUGCGGUCGGCUCCCCUCAAAUGAAUCAGCCUCCCAGUGUUUGGUGGCAUCACGGGUGUGAUAAAUAUCUACGCUCGCAGUUGUCCGCCAGGUAACCUUUGGUGACAAAGGUUCGCUGGAGCUCACAGAUGUCUCUCCUCAGCGAGGACAGCUUUUUGAACGUUCGAUCUCAAAUCAGGUAGGACUACCCGCUGAACUUAAGCAUAUCAA